GCAGGCUGGCCUGGACUUGGCACCCCACUUGAUGCAGCUGAUCCCGUGCCCGAGUGGAGAAGCGCCGAACGCUCCAACGCGGACAGGACUCCUAAACCUCCAACUCCGGUCCCUGCAAUACCUGGCGCCUGCUGCUGGGACACCUUCUGUAGUUCUGCAGCCAGCUGCUUAGGGUCCACCCCCGGGGAGCGCUGCCCACCUACUGAAAGAAUUCACGCACGAAACCACAGGACCGUGGCCUGAAGUGAUCUGGGAACACACUUGAGUAAAGUGCUGUUGCUCUCCACGGCGAACACUCGUCUCUCUUCCCCUCUCUGCCAUUGUUCAUCUGCAUCAAAAGGAAGACACUAGCAUAUAGUUCUCUCCACAACCUGCCUGCAGCUGCAUGCUCACAUUCCGUUGCACAGCUGGACGGCGUUGCCAUGGCGAACAUCCUGUCGCCUGAAUCGUCGGCUGAGAUGGAAGAGAGUAAUUUUGAAGGUGUAAUGAAAGUGCGAACGAUCCAUGAAAAGAAGCAGAAGGCAGAAACAGAAUGAGGGACAACGAAGGUGGUCGGGCACAUACUGAUGAGUCUUGCAUAACACCUGCCGUGUCUUUUCUGCCACAUUAACUUUCAUAUCUGAUGUAAAUUUCCUUUAAAAAAAAAAAAAAAAAAGACAUUUCCUGUUUGAUGUACCUCUUCAGGUAGACCCCUGCUGGGUAGUAUCUGGAGCAGGUGAGGCCGUCCCAGGCGCAGUAGGGGUCCCUGGCCAGGCAGCAGUCUGCGCACUCAGACCCGUAAAGGUCACACUGAUGCAGCUUGACCUGGGCCACGCCCACAUCUGAGCCCACGUACAGCUGUUGCUGUGAAAAGAUAAUGUGGGCUUUCUAACAGCUGCUGAUGAUAUUAAACACGUUAUUGCAACAGCAGUCUCUAGUGGUGAAGCGGGCGUAUUGCAAUAAUGACUUACCCGUUUAGGAGAGAUGAUGAGCUCUUGAAUUUCAGCGCGGUCCUGCGAAGAUUUUGAUUCAUUGAAAUCAAGGUCGUUUCACAGGCACAUUGCUUAUGACAAUAAAUGUGGUUAAAUAUAUAUUAAAUAUAUUAAAUGGCAAGACUGAGUCCAAAAUGAACCG
This is a long non-coding RNA of Synchiropus splendidus (mandarinfish), 1113 nucleotides long. RefSeq lists it as uncharacterized. The transcript is spliced from 3 exons. The record is from RefSeq and is a predicted model, not a curated record. NCBI's taxonomy places the organism in Eukaryota, Metazoa, Chordata, Actinopteri, Syngnathiformes, Callionymidae.